CCUCCUCCCUCAGCGCAGCUUUGCAGGCGCUGGGGCUCCCAAAGGACGGAGCUUUGAAUCCACCUGGGAGGCUUAAGAGAAAGUGCUGAGUCCCCCAUGCCCUACCCCUGAGACUGCUGACAGGCAUCGCUGAGGGCUGCAGCUUUGGAAUCGGGCAUCUUCUGAGGAAGAGAAAGGCACCACAGCCACGGCACAGAAGACUAGGGGAGCCAGCUUCAGCUUUUGCCAAGUGUUUGGUUCAUCUGACGCUUGGUGAAGUCACAUGCAUCUGCUGCCCUGACAUCCAGGAGAAGGAACCAUCUGGCUCAAGAAUCCAUUACAGAAGAGGCCGUCAGCACCCGUCACUUGUGCCUCCCCAUGUCCAGCUGAGUUUCUUUCUCUCUGCUCAACUCCAAAGUGUUGAUGAGUCAAUCGAUGCGGCCCUUGCCACUGCGUCUCACUGGGAAUUCCGGUGAGGUGGCCGUCUGCCUGCGUGCGUGCCAGCUAGCUCCUCGAUCAAUGCACACUUCUUUAAAGUGCUGCAGGAUGCUGCUGGAAAGGAUUUGGUCUGGCUCAUUUGGCUGUUGAAAAAGGCCACGCCUGCUUCAAGUUCCUCCAGUACUCGGGGGUAAUUACAAGCAUUUUCAGAAAACAAAACAGCCAAAUGGAAAAUUUUUGUUACAAAACAUGCUUUGGCCACUUCAGUAGUUGAAAUGACAAGAGAAUGGAAACCCCCUUAAGUGAGAUCAUGCUGUUUUUGAGAACAUAUUCUUUAAGAGGAAAACUGUUCUAAAUACUAACAAUGGUGACAGUGGUGCUGUUUAUGAUAACAGUGACAGAUCCACAUAAUUUCCUUUCCCAAAGGUUCCUUUUGGUCACUCAGGCUCCCAACCUUGGAAUAAUCUUUCUUUCCUGCAUAUCAUCUCAUGGUCAACUAGUUGCCAAGAUCCCUAGGAUUUCCACCUUUCAUCCCACAUUGCUGUUUCUCUCCUUUCCAUCCACAUCACCUUUGUUCAGCUCCUCGUGUGUCUUUCCUAAACUUUGGCAAGGGCUGUCUAACCUGUAUCCUUCCUCCCUUCCAUUUUAUCAUUCACCUUUCAACCAUUUCCCAGGAAUUCCAUUGUAUUAGUUACCUGUUGCUGAGUAAAAAUUAGCCCAACACGUGUUGGCUAAAAACAACAAAUAUUUACUAUGUCACAUAGUUGCCAAGGGUCAGGAAUUUGGAUACAUCUUAGCCAGGUGGUUCUGGCUCAUGGUGUCUCAUGAGGUUUUAGUCAAGAUGUCAGCUGGGGCUGCAGUCAUCUAAGGCUUGACCGGGACUUAAGGAUCCACUUCCAAGAUGGCAUGCUCAUAUGGCUAUUGGUAAGAGACCUCGGUUCCUCCCUAGUUUUUGAUAGGAGGUGUCAGUCUCUCAUUACAUGAGUUUCUCCACAGUGCUGCUUGAGUGUCCUUAUGACAUGGCAGCUGGCUUCCUGCAGAACAGGUGAUCCAUGAGAGGAAGCGAGGAGGACAAUACCAUGCAUUUUAAAACCUAGUCUUGGAUGCCAGACACCAUGUCUUCCUCAUAUUCUGUUAGAAGCUGGCCCACAUUUUAGUUUAGAGGAGGGGAAUUAGGUUCCACCUUUAGAAGGGAAUGGUGUUGAAGAAUUUGUGGACAUACUUUAAAAUGAUCUCAUCCCUUAUGUAAACAUUGCUGUCUGUGUUUUCAGGGAAUUUAGUCCACAGGCUCUUGUAUGAUUGGUUUACCCAGUCUAGACAGACAAGCCGCCAGAAAAGUAACCCAGUCCUGGUGCAUCUUUCCUUAAAAACCAUUACAGACUGCCCCGUGUUUAAAGAACUCAGCACAGAGUGCCUCUCCCACCCUCUGCCACCCUUAACUUUCCUUCCUUCCCUCCUUCACUCCUUUCCUUCCUUCCUUCUGUCCUUCCUUCCUUCCUUCCUUCCUUCCUUCUUCCCUCCCCCGCUCCCUCCCUUCCUUCCUCUCUUUUCUUUCUGUCUCUCUCUUUUUCUCUCUUCCUUUCUUUCGAUGGAGUUUCACUCUGCCUCCCAGGCUGGAGUGCGCUGGCAUGAUCUCAGCUCGUUGCAUCCUCCACCUCCCAGGUUCAAGUGAUUCUCGUGCCUCAGCCUCCUGAGUAGGUGGGAAUACAGGCGCCCGCCACCAUGCCUGGCUAUUUUUUUAUGGUGGGUUUUUUGUUUUCUGUUUUUUGAGAUAGAGUCUUGCUCUGUUGCCCAGGCUGGAGUGCAGUGGUGCAAUCUUGGCUCACUGCAACCUCUGCCUCCCAGGUUCAAGCGAUUCGCCUGCCUCAGCCUCCCAAGUAGCUGGGACUACAGGCAAAUGCCACCACGUCCGGCUAAUUGUUUUGUAUUUUUAGUAGAGACGGGAUUUCACUGUAUUAGCCAGGUUGGUCCUAAUCUCCUGACUUGUGAUCCACCUGCCUCGGCUUCCCAAAAUGCUGGGAUUACAGGCAUGAGCCACCAUGCCCCGCCAAUUUUUUGUGUUUUUAAUACAGACGGGGUUUCACCAUGUUAACUAGGCUGGUCUUGAACUCCUGACCUCAGGUGAUCCACCCAUCUCGGCCUCCCAAAGUGCUGGAAUUACAGGUGUGAGCCGCCGUGCCCCACUGCCACCCCUAACUUUUAAGGUAACUGACAUUUCUGGCCAUAUCCUCUCCUACUCCGCAAAGGGCAGCCUACCUUCUAGUUUACCUGGCAACUCGCUCUCUUCUGGACAUAUCCUGUGCUCCAUCAAUUCCCACUGCCCUCUGAACUCCUGCUUCUCCCUUACACCCAGUUUUAAUCACCAAGACCUGCUGGCUUUACUUUCUUAAUGAGUUCACAAAUAGUUCCCCACCUCUCUCUCUCUCUCUUUCCAGCUCAGGGUCAGACCCCUGGCUUCUCAUCAGGAGUCCUGCAAAAGCUUCCCCUCUGGGUUCUCUCUCCACCUUUGCCUGCUUCCUCACCAAUGUCUGGAGUUGCCCUGUGACCCACCUAAAGUGUGAAUCUGACCACAUCCACUCUUUGCUUAAAAUCCUUCCCUGGCCUUGCAUCAAUGACUGGAUAAAGUCCAGCUUCCUCCUGCAGAAUCCAAGACCCUCUUACAGGUCCCCCAGCUGAUGGUCCUCUCAAGACUCCCAUGUCUUGUUCUUGCAGCACUGCACCCCAGGCUGUUACAGACACACUGGGUGGUGCCCACCUUUUCCCUUUGCUUGUUUCCCUUUGGCAGGUGAGUUGAAGAGCCAGUGGGAAAGAAAGCUGUACAAGAGGGAACCCACGUGAAUGCAAGCCUCAAGAGCCUGAAGACAUCUAGGGGAGCACUCAGCCUUCCAUCUGGCAAAGAAUGGGGCUCCUCAGUUAAUUCUAUGUAGGCCUCGGAGGACAGGGUACAUAUGGAUUCUGCAACCAAGGUGCUAAUUAAACUCCCUAAUGAUCUUGACCUGGAAAAUGAGGCUCUUUGCUGAGCCCCCUGUAAGCCUGGCAGAGCCGCUACUAAUAACUCAUAGCAUAUCUGGCAGAGUAAUAUGCCCAGAGGAAUUUCUGCUUCUUUGUGCAUUUUUAAACUCACUUCCAAAUUAGGGAAAGAAGCACUUUCUCACUUUUGUGCAAGAAUCCACAUUUCUGAAUGGUUCCGCCCUGUUCUUGCCUAACACAGGCAGUGUUGUGAUAUGAUGUGGAUGCCCAAUUAAUAUGAAUACAGUUGACUUUUAAAGAGAGCAGUAAGGGAAUUCUGAGCUCCCUCACGCUUUGCUAAAUGCAAAACAAAGCUGUCUUCUGCAAUGACCUUCCCCUUCUACUCAGAGCUGUUGCGUCUUGGGAAGGGUUUGAUUCCUUUGUCUGGGAGUCAUUCUUGUGGGCAUCACUGUCCAGCACUGGCAUGGAUGGAGCUUACUGGAUGUUUCCUUUUCUUGUGGUGUGUGGUGCCCUUUAGUGUUAUUUGCGAAAUAUUUUCCUUUGUUCCCACUCUGGCCGCAUGCUAGGGUUGCCCAUCCUGGCCCUGUCAUGAUUGGAUAGUGUCAAGUAAUUAGCUCACAUCAAUGAUUGUGCAUGGAUCAUAUCCACAGACUGGACAUUUAAUUGUCAUUAUGAGACCCUCCAGAUCUGUUUCCUCCUGGCACUGCUGAUCAGAACCAUUUGAGAUGGUAAUUGUUCAGUAAGCCUGGAUCUCUGAGCAGAGUCCCCUUGCUGACCUGUAUCAUGAUUUUUAGCCCACUGAGAUUUUGGAGUUGUUUGUUACUGCAGCACAGCCUAGCAUAUCCUGACUGAUCUAUAGCGUUUGGCAUUUUCAGCAACUUAAUAUUUACCAUAACUUUGCUUGCACAAAGGCAGUGUGCCUUUGCUGUUUUGUCAAUUCACAAUUCUUGUGCGAAUUUUCACUAAUGGCCAAUUAGAAUUUAUUAUUCUUUUCAAGGUUGGGAAGAGGAUGUUGUGGACUAAUAUCUUUGGCAACUCAGCCCAGUGCCAAGUGGUCUGAUAUCUGAGAAUGACCUUGGCAUACUUUGUGAGGUUAACCCUUCCUGGCUUAAAAACAGAUGCCCCAGCUUUGGCCAGGCCACUCCAUGGUUAAUAUUGAUAAUGACAACUGAUGGGGUGCCAACUAUGUGCCAGGCAAUGAGUACCUCUAAUUAUUACUAUAACUCUAUAAGUGAGGCUGUAUCUUAUUCCCAUGUCUCAGAUGGUAACACUGAGGGACAAACAGGGUAAACCUAUUUAAAUAGAUUGCCUAACCUCUCUUUGAUAGUGGAGCCCAGGUUUGGUCCCAACUCUGGAUGUAAAAGUCUAUGUUCUUUUUUAUUGCACCUAGCCAACUCUCCUUUGUAAAUUUCUAGGAGAGGGAUGAAAGGUGCCUCUGUCCUUAGGGAUGUUAUAGAAAUUAUCCUUGAUGGUAUUAGCCCGUUGACAUUCUGUGUUUGGUUGGAUGUCACAUUUUUAUUCAUUCAUUCAUAAAUUCAUUCAUGUAUUUAUCCACAUACUAAUCCAUGCAUUCACUCUUUCAUAAAUUCAUUCACUCAUUUGCUCAUUCAUUAACUCAUUCACGCAUUCCUUAGGCUUUGAUGAGAAUCUGUCAGGUGCUGGGUUUUGUUUGGGAUUGGGAUUUAGACAAGGACUGGUUAGGAUUUCUGCCUUCAACCUCAGUGGACUCACAGCCUUGGAAGAACAGCUCUGUGUGUGUGUGUGCGUGUGUGUGUGUACGUAUGUAUAUAUAUGUAUACUAUACAUAUGUGUACACCCACAGCUGUUCCUCUAAGGCUGAAGGCUGUAAGUACAUACAUGUAUUCAUAUAUACAUACAUAUAUGUACACAUAUACAUAUGUGUACACACACACACACACACACACACAAUGGUACAGAUAUGUCCAGGGAAGUAUGAGCCCACUGAGGAGGUGGCUUCUGGUCUAGAUAGGAUAUAAAGCUGUGUCAGGGCUGGCUUCCUGCAAGAGAUGAUAGUUUUAGAGUUUUUUGUCUUCUAUUUUUCUUUAUGAGUUUUUCACACUCCCCCCGACCCUCAUUCCACUAAAUUCACAGCCUGAGGGUCAAUGUCAUUAUCCCCAGCUAUGAUCCUUCUGUUUAUGAGGGUCACAGUGUCCAUGGCUUCUAUAUUCCAUCCCCUUCCCCUUCCUCUUCUCCUGCCCCCACUGUGGUGUCAUUAUUUCCCACAUCUAGAAGGUUAAUGGCCCCUUCCAAGGAAUGGUGAUAUGGAAUCCUAGCUCUUUGGGGGCAUAAAUAGAUUUUUUUCCCCCCAAAGUUUGGCCUGUCACUUGCUCUUAAUGGCUUGAGGUUGGUUGCAGAACUAUCCGGCAGGAAAAAAUGAAAAGGACCCUCUGAUUACGUGCUCCUAAGUUGGCUGGGGUAAUUUGAGCAGAAACGGCUUUGCAGCUCUGGGGAAAAAAAAUGUAAUUCUCGUGUAUGAAAGCGUGAACCAGAGUUGCCAUGUUCACUUCUUGUUUUUAAAGCCCCCACAGGCCAAGUCACAUAUCUGGGUCAGAGGGUCUAUUGAUUACCUGUCACGCCCUGAGGUGUGGGUGAUCAAUAAUACUAACAUACAGGAAAGGUGGCCUUGAAUGCAGAAAUCCCAUUGUGUUGACCAUCCAUUUUUUCUCGCCUGUAAGUGCUUUGCAGGGAAGCAAAACUGUCUAACCUAGGGCCACAAAUGACCCAAAUCCUAAAACUGUUCCUACAAACCAAGGCUUUGGAAAUGCCCCGUUCCAAAGGAAGCAGAGGCAGGUUGUUGGCGCCGUCUCUCAGCGUUCGGACAGUGGGGCAGACAGGGAGGCAGGGGAGUGAGGAGGCAAGGGCGUUGAGGAGAAUUCUUGAGGAAUAGAGACAGAGGUCCCUCGCACCACAACCUUGACCUUUCAUUAAUGUUUAAUCAGGUGCUUGGAGCAAAGUACUUUCAAAAAGUCCUGAAAAUCCUUAUGACUAAUGAAGCAUUCUGUGACGGGAAGCCUGGCUUUGCCUGGAUCUGCUUGUGAAGCUCUCCAUGAACCCCUUUCUUUUUGGGGGGCCCCCUGCGCAGGGCAUGCACCAGUUUUUAUUUUUACUUUUUUUGAGACGGAGUCUCACUGUGUCACCCAGGCUGGAGUGCAGUGACACCAUCUUGGCUCACUGCAACCUCCUGAGUUCAAGCGAUUAUCCUGCUUCAGCCUCCCGAGUAGCUUGGAUUACAGGUGCCCACCACCAAGCCCAGCUAAUUUUUGUAUUUUUGAUAGAGACAGGGUUUCACCAUGUUGGUCAAGCUGGUCUCGAACUUCUGACCUCAGCUGAUCCACCCGCCUUGGCCUCCCAAAGUGCUGGGAUUACAGGCAUGAGCCACCGUAUCCGGUCCAUGCAACAGCUUCUUAUUUUCUGUCUGCCAAGGGGGCCGAGUCUGAGGCCUGUUUUGAUGAGUCAAUGUCAUAUGGAAUGCUGUGGCUCUUGCAGCCACCUACCCAGUAUCCAGUUUCCCUUCCUUCUUUCUAAGGGACUCAGAUUUUGUUAAUUCCCCUGCUUCUCCUUGGUACAGCCAUGGGAAGCGGAAGUGUGGUCGACCCCAGGUGACUGUGCUGAGUCAAGGGGUGAACAUUGGACCUUCCUUGGCCCAAUCAGAAAAGUGCUGGAGGCCACUCAGGUGGGAGGGGUUCUCACUCCUGCAGGAUAUAAGUGGUCUACCUUGUCUACCUUCCAGCCCACCUGGAUGACACGGUCCAUCUGCUUGAUGGAAGGCUGCUGAUGGAGCCAUUGGUGGAUCUCCAGGGGACCAGAGUGAAGAUGACAUUAAGACCAUGGAUGGCAGAGUACAAUUUCUGAAGGCUCUGUAGAGUUGGUAGAUCAACAUCCUACCUGGCUGUCCUGUUUAUAACAGGAAAUAUUCAAUGUCCAUAUUUUAAAACCAGUUGGAAUCCAGGUUGUCUGUUGCUUGUAGUUGAAAACAUCCAAACUAGGCAGUGGUGGAUACCUUGGGCAUAAGCUGCCAUCCUGAAAUGUGGCCAGGCUGAGCUGGUGGACAUUAUAAAAUCCACAAGUUGGGCCAUCAGGUGUGGGAAGGGAGUCAGAAUCGCAGAAUGUCUGAAAAGAAAUGGCUUGUGUUGCCCACAGUAAAGCCAGUAGGGUUCAUCACAUAUCUUGCUGGGAGGUCUUGGUGGGCAUUGUCUGGUAGGGAAAGAGUGUGGACGUUGGAUGCCACACACCUGCGUGGGCAGAUUGCUAGAUAAGUCAAGAUUGAUCAACAAUACCAGUUCCACUUGGGUGACAUGCUUUAAUGAUUGUCAUGAGCACACGACUGAUGGAUGUUACCCUCAAUGGUGCUUUAAAAUGGUUUCUUCUGUAAAAGCCAGCAAAAUGUAGACAGUGAGAGAGCAACCUCUGGCACCUUCAGGUACCUGGAAGCACAGGGCAAGAGAAAAUGCACCUGGGGUAGGAGGAGAAGGAAGGAGUGACCCAGUUCCACCUACUCACCCACCUCAAAGUCAUCAGUCAAAACCUUAGACUUCUAGCCCCAGGUCCACCAAAAGUAAAAUCUCUUGGGAUAGGGCAAGUGUUCUCAGCAACUUUUUUUUUUUAAGCUAGUCUUUGAACUCUUGCGUUGAGGACUCAGCAGUGGUGGGAGCAGCAGGAAGAUGACAGGAUUCUGUCCAUGUAAUCCAGUUGAGGGAUUAACUGUGUGAGUGUGCACGUGUAGGUGUGUGUAUGUGCACAUACUUGUGUGCAUGUUUGUGUGUGCACACGUGUGCAGUGUUCUUAUGUGCAUGUGUGUUGUACAUGUGAGUGCACAUGUGUGUGGUGACGGAGACAAGUAGGGCUGAAGUCGAAACAGCAUAAGCCUGGAGAUUUGGAGAAGCAACAAGGGCAGUCCCAUUCUGCUCGGAAAUGAAGAGCACAGGUGGCUGGGGGUGUUGGGAGUGGGAGACGGCAGCAGAAGAUCCCCUUGUAGGGAAAGGGCCUCAUAACCCCCCACACAGUUUCUGGGACUGCUAGCAAUUCCCCUUGCAGGAGAGAGAUUGUCUGCCUCCCUCUAUGGAUGAGGACAUGGAAGGCAGGACUUUAGUGAGCAAGUCCCUCAGCUCACGAGCGAGACUCAGGAAGGGAGGGGAGAGUCUGGUGGGAGACAUAGUGUUUCUCACUGGCCUGUCUCCCCACGAGCUGUUGCUGCGCCCUGGGCCACUCCUUCCUCUGUGCCUACCUGAAUUUCUUGUCUUUCGAGACUCCAGGUCGUGGCUACCUUAUCAAUCUUCCUGCUCCUUCCCAAGGCCCAGGUUGGAGCCCCUCUCUGUGUUCAGGAGGACUGGGGGCUCCCCCUACCCUCGCCCCAUGUCUUUGUAUUGCUAUCCCAACUUUAAUGCUGGGCUUUUCUGGAGACGUUGGGAUCCUUGAGGACAGAGCUGUGUCUUAUCCACUGUUAUGCUGGGUCCCUUACUAAACAGGUACUGAAUGCACUAAUCUCAGCCUGGAGCUAGGGGAGGCCAACAGAUACCCCUUUGCCUCAAUGUUGUAGGUAUGGCCUCUUGGGAACUGUGUAGUAUUUUUUUGUGGGUGAGUGUGAGUGUGUGUGUGUGUGUGUGUGUGUGUGUGUGUGUGUGUGUGUGUGUGUAUGAGAGAGGGAGAGAGACAGCCUGCAUCAUUCUGCACUGUGUCCUGCAUAUGUGUAGUCACAGCCCCAUUUACAACACCUAGAGUGUGGCUUGAGCAUGUCCCAGUUUUCAUCAGACUUGGGGAUGCCUAGGAAAAGAAGGAGAAAAGUUCGUGAGCAGCAGCAACAGCAGCCUGGGGCAGGGGAGGAGGGGCCUGGCCAGAAGCCCCAGAGGCCCCAGUAGCCGAUGGUGAACUGACCUUGUACAGGAUAAGCUGUCCCGGUAAAGUCCAAGUCAGAGGCUCAGUCUCCAUUCAGGACAAACUUCUAUAGGGUGAGGAAGGAGCUCAGACAGGCUGGCCUUGGGAUCUGCAGCCUCACUUUACUUGUUCCAGAAACAGAGAUUCUAUUCAGGGUGGCUGGCCUUGAAGGGGUGUCUAGGAGCUCUGGGAACAGUGCAACUGUGACGUGCACAGUGCCUUUUUUUUUAGCCCAAGGUUAUGUGUGGUAAACUAUGCAUGACAUACAAUCUAUCAUCUUACUACUUUAAGUGUACAGUUCAGGGUAUUAAGUACAUUCACAUGGCUGUGCAGCCACCACCAGCACCAUCCAUCUCCAGAACUCUUAUUGUUUUGCAACACUGAAACCGAAAACUGAGAACAUGAGGUAUUUGGUUUUCUGUUCCUGUGUUAGUUUGCUGAGGAUGAUGGCUUCUAGCUUCAUCCAUGUCCCUGCAAAGGACAUGAUCUCAUUCUUUUUUAUGGCUGCAUAGUAGAAUCUCCUUUAUUUUUAAGGCUGAAUAAUAAUCCCCUCGUAUGUAUGUAUGAUCCAUCCAGUCAUCCGUCGACAGGCAUUUGGGUUGCAUGGGGCAUCUUUAGUAUUUCGAUCAUCAAAUAAUUAAAUAAGAGGUUGGAGUUUACACGCAGUGUUUUCUAUACCGUUGUCUCAUUGAUUCAUUUCCCUGAAAUUAUAUUCAUGUGGUUAACUUGAUCCUUCUGUGGGAAAGGGCCUGGGAGGCAAAGAAAAGUAUGAGUGUGGUUCUGAUGCAACCCUUAGACUUUCCUGUGGCGGACAGUGGGUGGACGUCUCAGGUUGAUGGUGUCGCAGGUGUCUGUGCAGGGAUGGGGUGUUUCUACCGGAACCUACCCAGCUUCCCCACCUUGCCUUCUUUAUGUGCGCUGGCUGGCAUGGCACGGUGCCCUGCCACUGAUGCUGGCGUCGGAUGGCCUGGAACUGAGUGUGUGGCCUCAGGCAGGUGACUUUGCUUCUGUGAGCCUCUCUUCAUUUGUGGUCCCCAAAAGCGGCCGUGGGAAAGAAAUGAGAGAGCACAGUGUCUGAACAAUAGUCCUUUUGUGAUAAAUGGUGGUUUUCUUCCUACUGCUCUCCCACUUGGUGAUCAUGAACUUCAGAGAAAACAUUCCCUGAUUUUUGGGGACCCACACACAUGGUGAUGCGCUGGAUGUUGUCACCCUGGUCAGUCUGACUCCCCCCACCCCGGACAGUUGGGCUCUUCCUGAGAAGCCCAUCUCACAACGCGUUUGCAGGACUUCCCAUGAGUGAUUCCCAAUUCCAUUAUUCAGGGAUGCGAUGAGGCCCCAAGGGCUAAAUGUUGUGGCAUUGGAAGCAAAACCUACAGCCCAGAGUCAGCUUGGGUGAGAGGCCCAUGGGGCCCUCACGGCACCGACCUCAAAGACCUACAGGGAUGGAAGCCCGGCAAACAGAAAUCCUUCAUAAUUGCCCAGAAGUUCAAAGCUACUGGUCCGUUAGGUUAAUAGCCCUGCAGAUCUCAUGGCUGGAUCCGAAGCAGCAUUUGCGGAGUUCACAAUGAUCCUGGUCACCUUGGACGUUUUAUUGUGCCACUCGCUUGCAACAAGCCUCCAUCUCAACACAGAUGAGAUGUACUCCCAAGUAAGGAGUUUGAAAAAGCAGGAAGCACCAGCAGAUGGAGCGCGAGUUCGGGAUCCCAGCUCAGGCUGGUGCGGUUUGGGACCCAACACACUUGUGCAUUUCUGUGGGUUCAUCCGCACAGCACGUCCUCCACCGGGGCCCUACCUGCUUCCCACCACUGCGGCCCGGGCCCCUUCCCUGCUCAAUUCAGCCCUUUUCUUUAGAGCUCAGGUCCACCCUCCUAGAAACAAGAACACUAUGACUAAUUAUAAAAUCAUUAUAUGAUUAAACUCAAUUAACUUCAAAUAACCCUUGAAAUUUGCUUAAUGUCAGCCUUUGGCCCCGCUUGAACUGUUAAAUGUUGCUCUCCUUUGAAAUUCCAGUGAGACCAGCUGGUUACAGUCCACUACCUGGCGUGAUCCCUGGGCUCUGUGGGGCCACGUGUCUUGGAGUGCAGGGCAGGAAAUGAUGGCCUGGUGCUGAGGGUCCGGAGCACAGAAACUCCACCAGGUCUGGGUAGCCAGAGGUGCCACAGGGAACAGUCACAGCCUCACCCCAAUCCCGGGCCUAACCAGUUCUCAGAUUGGAAGCCCCUUGAUUGAAUCCUCUCGAGGGCGGCUGCACUGUCACAAGUGCAGAUCAUGAAUCUUCUUCCAAGCUAUACCCAGAGGAACACGGAGUCACUUACAAGAGUGAUGCUACACAGAGGAAAAGGAAAUAUUGAGACCCUUCAGGAUAUUCUGACUAUGAAUUGAUGUUAAUUUCUGGGGAUCCAAAAUACCACUGGGAUCUGUGCAUCAAAGUGAGGGCUUAUAGCACUUAGGUAAUAAAUGGAGAAUUAAGCCAAGCUCAAAUCAUGGUGGUCCCUGUAGGUCUGUGGACUCAUGCUGUGGUUAUCUCUCCAUUUCCAGAAUAUAAAAUUUAUAAUGUACAUACUUGGCAAUGGGCAGAAUUGUUUAGUUCUUUCUGAUGGGAAGUCCCUGGAACAUCCUUCCCUAUCAGGAUAGUAAACCAAAAGCUUAACCACAGUCCUGACUCUGAAUGGAUGUAAGUUCCACCAUCGAAUAUGGAUAGAUGUGGGUGAUACUCACCACAUGCUGUGAUCCUAUUAACUCACCUGUUGGGGCUGUGGAUGGAUCCUGGGGAAUGAAGAUGGGCUGUUUUCUGCUUAAUCAAGUGGUGAGUUCAAUUGCUGCUGCUAUUCCAGGUGUGGAAUUUUAUUAUGGAGCAAAUCAACAUGACCCUUAAUAUUGGAACGCAGCUAUCGACCAGAUAAAUACCUUCUCACUAGACCCAUUUGCAAGCACAGUCAGCAGAUGUUUGCUUUUACCUGACAAUGCCAAAUGACACCUGCCUGAUACGUCUUGAGAAUUUGUUCUUCCUCUGGAAACCUGUCUUUACUCGUGAGGUCUUCAGAACAGACCAGAGAAUGGGCUCUGUAAAAUGGUGAGGAUGGAAAGAAGAAACCAAUCUGCUGUGCACCUGUGUAUAGAGCAUCCGGCAGUUCUAGGUGCAAUGUUUUAAGGGGAAGACUUACACUAUGAAGCUAGCCCAGAAGAGGGUGACUAGAGUACUGAGGAGUUUCUACCUGGAAGGGCUGUAAGGAAGACAACUGCUAUGUUGUGAGCGGCUCUAUGGAGAGGCCCAUGUGGAGGGAAGUGAGGAAGGCCUCUGGCCAACAGUCCAGGAGGAAGUGAAGCCCUCAGUCCAACAGCCUGUGUGGAACUGAACCCUGCAAACAACUCUGUGUGUGAGCUUGGAAGUGGAUCCAUAUUCAGUCAAACCUUGAGAUGGGACACCAUGCUCUGCUAACACUUGAUUGUGGUCCCAGCUAGGCCACUGCUGAAGUCUUGACUCAGAGAAACGAUGAUAUAGUAAAUGUUUGUUGUUUCAAGUUGGUAAGUUUUGGGAUAAUUUUUUAUAUAGUGAUAAUUUUUUAUAUACUUUAAAAUAACACAUUGCCCUAUCCUUUGGUUACACUUUUCUCUUGGAACUCUGCUUGCCCAUAUAUUACAGAAAUAUUUUUCAGAUCAUGGGCUGAAAGGUGGAUUAUGGAUGCAAUGUUUAAAUUUAGCAAUGUCAUUUAUGACUGUUCAUAUGAGCUUUGCUGCAUAAAAUGUUGAUAUUAAUUUGUUUCCCUUUAAGACAUUCUUAAUGUUUACCUCUCAGUAUUUUCUUUGUAAUCAAUUAAUGUAAGAUGAAUAUAGUUUGUAGGUUUUACCUUUCUUGAUUCGUAUACAAAACACACAACAUCCAACCAUUGUUAUUUAAAGAUUAUCUAGGAGGAGAUGAUGGAAACUCUGUUUUGGGCCACCUUCUUUACACAUUGGGUCUAUUUCCCCUAACUUGAGUAUAUAUUAAACUAGUGGGGGAUUGAGCUACAAAAAUGCUACUUGGUGAGAAUUUUAUUAAUACAAAUACUCAACUCUGAAGUUACGUUUUUGUGGAAAGUUAUCACUUUGGAAUUUGAAUUUUCUUGGAGCUAAGCCACUGGUAGUUGUAAAAGCUACACCUGUAAAUUUGCUCCCUAGAAGAUACUUUCGUUUAGUGACCACUUGUUUCUCUGUGGAUAAAUUCAAUUAUAAAUUACAAUCGAAUUGACGUUUUCAUAGCAUCCUUCACUCUCCAAGUAUCUCAAGUCCUCUGUGAAUUAUAAAGUAAUUACAGUGCUCAAAGGACAGUUUCAUAAUUGUGUCCAUGAGCACAGACUUUCCUCUAUGUUCGAGAAGGGCUCAUUCCCAGCCGGGAACAUUAAGUUGGAUUUUAUUGAGACUGGGGACUGCUAGUCCAGACAGCUGGGUGAUCCCCUGCGCUAUUUUGAAAAGUAUCCUGGGAUCUUUAAUUUCCACCUGGAUGGUCAGGGAGGUGAGAGAACGGCCCUCACUGGGUGUGACCUUGUAUCCCACUUGGGGUCUUGAACCAGGGGACCCCCAACCCCAGAGGUGAGACAUGCAAUAUGGUCAAUUAUACAACCUCUUAAUUAUUUUUUGCUGAAUCUCAAGUGAGUUCUCAUGGCCUGCUCUCUCCCGGGUGGGUUCAGAAGGUGGCCAAGAAGAAAUGUUAGAAAAUUCCCAGAGAGCCAUUUCAUGAGAAUGUUUUCUUUGGUUUAUACCUGAUACUGUUUUGUUUUUGUUGUUGCUUUUUAAUAACUUUUUUUUCUUUUUGUGGGGUCAUUUGCGUAAUACACAGGUGACGAACACUCAAGGUUAUUUGGUCGCAUGCCACCAAAUAACUUUCCUUUGGCACAUCUGCAGUGAAGGAGUCUUUCUGUCUGUCUCCUUUUGUUCCUCAUCAUCUAUUAGCUUGGCACAGCUGACUGAGCUGUUAAAUGAUUACUGCAUAUUUUGUACCUCACCUUGAGAGGCUUUGGUAUAAAAAGGUGCUAAUUAAGCUGAAGCUUCUGGCCCUCUUGCCUAUGUGGGCCCCAGGAAGCGAAGCAAAAAGACUUUAGGGAGCUGGAGCUUGUGUGUGUGUGUGUGUGUGUGUGUGUGUGUGUGUGUGUGUGUGUGUGUGUGUGUGUUUCGUUUUCAGCAUUUUGAGGAAUUGUUACUGGAACUUAUAAAAUAAUUGUUUUAGACCUUAUAAACACAGCAAAUUCUUCAAACUACGUAUGAGGCUGACUCAAAAAGCCACGUAAAGGUAGCUUGGCGAAUCAACUAACUGCUGACCAGUUUGUGGUGAUCGUAAGUCUAUAUAUGCUGGAUUUGGCGAUCGUAAGUCUAUAUAUGCUGGAUUUGAAUAUUUUCUGUAUUUAAAGAAAAAUAAGUACAUUCUAAGAAUAGUUGUCAUCUCCCUCUGUAGACUUGCCCCGUAGAUAUUUGAAAUGGGGAUUAACAUAUUUAAGAGUAGCAGGAAGUGCUAUUUCAUCAGUGUCUAGAAUGGGAGGCGAAUUCAGUCCCUGCCUGGACUUGUUGACUAGCUCGCUGGGUUGUGAAAACCACGGCAUUCUCCUGGGAAUUUGUUCCAGGGCACUGACUGCAUUUCUUCUGAAGCUAAAGCACUUAGCUUUGCUUCCAUGCCUUUUAAUAUAAUUUGUAGGCUUCAGCAGAUUUCUAAAGUACACCACUUGAUAUCUUUCACAGCUCAAGGUAAAUUCUGCAGCACGAACUUAUAGAAUUUUUUUCUUUUACCUGGGGUGAGAACAUACCUUUUCCUAGUGCUAUUUUUUUUUUCUGGGCUACCUUUCAUCUGUUUACAUGAAUUCCACUUCUUCUCGCUGUGUUAAAGAAAUCCCCUAAGCUGUCUACAUAGGUGUGAAACUUUUGGUUGUGAUUUCCUUGAAGUUAGUUGGAACUGGAACAUUUUUUUCUGUGUCCUGAAUGGCUCACACAUUCCCUAACACAGAAUGGAUACUCAGCGAACAGUUGUUGAAUCAGUGAACGGUAAUGGCUCAGUUCUGUCAGACAAUGGAUUGAAUUAUUUUUACACCUUUAAUUCACUCAUGGACUGAAUUAACCUACUCAUGGGCUGUUUGGGGCAUCAAGUGAUAUUUAUACAUUUCUGAAGAAUGUGGAAUCACCAGGGUUAACAGUGUUUGCAGGUGGCGUUCGAUUGCAGGGGCCCAAGGAACCACGGCUGAAUUCCGCAUGGACAUAGGCCAUUUUCCACCAGCAAAGUUAUGAGAACUUUUUUUGUUUUGGUAACUGAUGUGAAAUUUUCAGUUCCGAAUGACAUCCAGAAACUCUCCUUCUGCAGCAGAUGAAUGUUUUGAGGGAAUUUGAGAGGAGGGUUUGUCUUUUAUCUCUCACCUGCACGAGGACACUUGCAGUCUCUUAAGAGAUGUUCUCUUUUUGAAAUGGUGGAAGGACAGAAGCAUCAGCCAGCCCGUUCAUGCUUGGGGACAGAGAGGGAGCUCAGAGCUUAGGGGAGCACAGGUCACUCUAAUGAAUGACAGCUGUAAUAAUAAAGACAUGCCAUCCAUGCUACUUUUUGCAGAAACCAGAAACAUCCUUGUGAAAGUUAAAGGGAAAAGAAAAACGUGUACUUUGAGGGGGGUGUUAACGGGGGACAGGAGGUGGCGACAUAAAAGACUGGUUUAAUGUGUCUCGUUGUAGCCCCUAAGGCUUUACCUGACCCCAUCACUGUCACAACACCUUCUUCGGGACUGACAGUCUUGGUAAUUGAUGGGUUGGUGGGGGCUUUUUUCUGCAAACACAUUAAGGCAGGAGGGAAUACUCUGGCCCCCACCUCCCCACGCCUGGCACGGGGGACCUGGAGGCGAGCAGACACCAGGCCCGGCGGUGUUGGGGGCAGAAGGGAUCAAUUCUGUCAACCAGACUGCCCAGCUACUGUCAGGCACUGGGACCCUUCACCUGCUCCUUGGAGUCAUUAGAACUCCCAAAUCUCUUUGCAGGCCUUUUCUAUUAGACACAUACUCCCAUGUUUUGAUUUUUUGCUCCCAAAGUCAUUUUUUUAAAUAAUUACCUGCAUCGAACCACACUUACCAUCUGUGGGCUGAGAGCGGGCAAAUGAUUUAUUAGUCUUGGUUUCUAACGGUGCUGAGCAGCUUGGGAUCGAUCUUGCUGGUGACACACUCGGCAGAUGCACCGAUGGGUGGGAGGGUCAAUGUCAGGAUGAAGCUUCUUGCGGAGCUGACAUGCACGUGGGGACCCCAGGUGUGGUGUUUAGUUGGUAGACUGUGACAUUGCAAAAGUGGAGUCUCAAGCCAUGGCGGAUAACAGGCGGCAGAAAAAGCAGUGAGGGAGCUUCUUGGGAUGUUUUACUUUAAGUAGAAAGUAAAACUGUGCAUGAAAAGAGGGGACAGAGUAUGCAACCCAAAUCAUCGCCAAGGCUCUUGGUUUCUUCUGUGCACACUGCCUGCCUUGUAUCCAAGCGUUUGACUGUGCAGAGGCCAGUCAUACUGGGGGACCCUGAGCACUACCCUUGGCAUUUGGGUAUAUCCUGAUCAAUAUAGCCAUUUCCACUGCUUGACAUUAUGUUUUGGGGGCUAGUUUUUUAAAGAUCAAUGAUUGAAUUGCUGCUCGGCUGAUUGGAUAUGUCUUCUCGGAGACUCACCUGUCCUCCCCGAAGAGAUGCUGACUACACAACAGCAGUCACUGUGCUGGGCACACGGGCAGUGUUCAGGAGACGUGGCUUCCUUUCUUCUUCUUUCAUUUCUUCCUGCCCAGAACAGCAAGGCUGAGACUGAUAAUAAAAUUCCUGGAACAUGGAGAAACUCAUGUGGGGAGAAAAGAAGAAAUGUAUUGUGACUUCCAUGGGCUUUUGGCACUUUUGGACCUCCCUCCUCCUCUUUUCCAUAAAAAAUGUAUUUUAAGACAUAUUGGUAUAAAGAUGAGAUUAUUCAUAGUACAUAUUAAAAUGUUUUCCCCUACCUAAAAGUUUGUGGUUUUAUUGUCUUCUUGUUUUUAAAAUAAAUUAAAAUAUUUUCAAAGGCCGUUAGAAGAACCGUGGGCCCUGGGCUUGGUGCCUGCUGUGCCUCAUAAAUCAGGCCUGGAGAAGAGACAUCAGUGACAUUUUAGUGUCAGGUAGAAAAUGUAAAAUAUCAUGAUUGUUUUCCAAUGAUAUACUAAGUAAGACACAUAAGAUGUGUUUUAAUUUUUUUCUUGAUGUAUGCUGUUGUCUUUUAGUUAUAAAUGCUGAGUACUGUUAAAAGAUAAACUGAGGCACAAUAAAAUUUGAAGAGUUUAUUUGAGCAAACAAUGAUUUGUUACCGAAACACCAGGGGUUCAUCUGGGUCCUGCUGCUUGCCACACAGAAAGCCAAUCACUGAGACAAUGAAUAUUGCCAAGGAAGAAGGCUUUACUCAGGUGCUGCUGUCCAGGAGAUGGGAGAUCAGUCUCAACUCCACCUCCCUGACUGAUUAAAACUAGAGGUUUUAUAGCAGGGAAGAAAUGUAACAGUAUGUAAGAAAACAGGAACUACGGAGGGGCAAGGAAGCAAUCAUGAAGAAUGAGGGGCCUGACAUCUCAUUGCAUGUGAUGAUCUGGUGAGUUUCAGUUCUCUGAUACUCUUUGAGAGGUCUGGGCUUCCUUUCCUGUGGAAGCAACUCAGAUAAAACAAAUGUAAGUUUGAAGCUUUAAGAUCAGAUGGAUCAAUUUCUUUUUUUUUUUUUUUUUUUUUUGAGACGGAGUCUUGCUCUGUUGCCCAGGCUGGAGUGCAAUGGCCACGACCUUGACUCACUGCAAGCUCCGCCUCCUGGGUUCAUGCCAUUUUCCUGCCUCAGCCUCCCAAGUAGCUGGGACUACAGGCACCCGCCACCAUGCCCAGCUAACUUUUUGUAUUUUUGGUAGAGACAGGGUUUCACCAUGUUAGCCAGGAUGGUCUUGAUCUCCUGAUCUCAUGAUCCACCUUCCUUGGCCUCCCAAAGUGCUGGGAUUACAGGUGUGAGCCACCACGCCUGGCCAGAUCAAUUUCUAUGUUUAUCUAAAAACUGUUGAUGAGACUUGGGUCAGUUUCAGAUUCACGAAUCAGGCAGCUCCAAACUAAAAGUGGUUCAGUGCCUAUGCUGAGGAAAGGAAGAGACAGGCUUUUGUAGAGUGAAUGGGGAAAGAACAGAAAUGCAAUAUUUGAUUGGUUACAGUUAAAACUUGCCUCAUUUGGUCUAUCCUGCUGAGAAGUCCCCAGUUAUAUAAUUAUAAAUUUGUUGGCUGCUUCUGAUUGUUUGAGCUUCAGUUCUGGUUUUCUAAUAUGGGCAUUUACAGAAAUAGCUCAUGUUAAGUUUUGUUUAUGUUUGCAAAUCAAGCAAGGUUAAGGUCAUUAAUGAAGUCUAACUGGCUUUGCCUGCUCAGGGCAUCUUCAAGCCCGGUCUUCAUUUUGAUUUACUGUAACAGUACUUUAGAUUUGUAAGGUAAAGUUAGAGUCCAUCUUUGUUGACUCCAAGACAUACUCUGAAGUUUGAACUUUUUAAUAACUCCCUGAUAUGUAUUAACUUUUUUUGUAGGUAUGACUGUCAUCUACAUUUCCAAGUUCUUUUUUUUUGAGACAGAGUCUCACUGUGUUACCCAGGCUGGAGUGCAGUGAUGUGAUCUCAGCUCACUGUAACCUCCACCUUCCAUGUUCAAGUGAUUCUUGUGUCUCAGCCUCCUGAGUAGCUGGGGUUACAGGCGUGUGCUACCACGGCCAGCUAAUUUUUGUAUUUUUAGUAGAGACGGGUUUUCACCGUGCUGGCCAGGCUGGUCUUGAAUUCCUGACCUCAUUUGAUCUGCCUGCCUCAGCCUCCCAAAGUGCUGGGAUUACAGGCAUGAGCCACCACGCCCGACCUCCAAGUUCUUUCUAGUAAGUACUUAGUACUUUAGGUUUCUUAAGAUUUUUCCUCUUAUUUAGCUGAAAUUUUGUGUCCUUUAAGUACUUACUACAGAGAACUUGGAAAUUUAGAUGACAGUCAUACCUACAAAUAAGGUUAUUAUGGAUAAGUUAUAGUGUUAUUUAACUUAUUAUGGGUAAGUUAUAGUGUUAUUUAAGUUACUAUGGAUAAGUUAUAGUGUUAUUUAACAAUCAAUAUGCUACUUAGGAAAAAAAUUUCCUGAGCUCUAUGCAAAGAAGCCUGUUGUAAAGCAAAUAAUGCCAUCUAAUGUAUUUGCUUGUCACUUGGGUUGUUUUUUCCAAUUAUUGAAACAUUUAAAAUGAAUGCAUCUCUAUUCUUUCUAG
This 19513-nucleotide long non-coding RNA is filed under the name Homo sapiens (human). RNAcentral's name for it is "HSALNT0383696". Lineage: Eukaryota; Metazoa; Chordata; Mammalia; Primates; Hominidae. The record is from RNAcentral.